GCGCCGCCAGGACAAAACAGAAACACAUGUACGGGCAGGAAAGGAGAGAGAUUCGGGAUUGGCGUUCGUCUGGAAGGGCCCACUCGCAUCCGCAACAGCACCCCCUGAAGGACGGGAUGACCCCGGAGCUGCGCCGCUGGCCACACCCUCAAACCAGCUGGACAAAUGUCCGUCCUCUUCCUGGUCCCGAGUUCGGGGUCUCUGUGGGCCGACAGAGAGGAGCUGAGGAGAAUCUUCCUGCACCACUUCCCAAUCACCAGCAGGGGGCGCCCUGGCCCUUUGUCUUCCUGUAAGUGAAACCAGAUUUGACUCCUCCUCCCCUCCAAAAUAUUAUAAAUAGCAUGACACAUUUUUAUGAAAGAUCCUGAAACAUUACCGGAAAGCUUUCGUCAUUUUGGGCUGACAAGCCGAGACAUGUGCUUAGCUGAUCUAACUUUUUUUUUUUUUUUUUUGAACCAAAAUCCUUUUUUCAGGGCGGAAAUGAUAAGCCUUGUGCAAGAACAGAUGUUUUGCACCCUUAGCUUUUGUGGAAGACCUCAGAUGUCUUUUUUCCUUUCUGCAGAAAUCCCCAAAAUUCAUCCAAGGGGGAUUUCCAGCUUGCACACGGUUCGUGCACAAAGCGGUUACCAUUUUUGUUCUCGUUUGUGUGAAUUCCAGCCACGUGGCUGGAUCUGAUUCUGGGCCUCUCCAGAGGCUGUCUAUCCCACCCUUCAUAACCCCAAGUUGGUUGGACUGCAAUUCCCAUCAUGCACCAACUAGCAAGGGAGGGCAGACUGAGAUAUUUGCAACCAAAUUUCUUUCAGGAAUGCCCUAUAAGGAAAAAAUA
Crotalus tigris (Tiger rattlesnake) is the source of this 826-nucleotide long non-coding RNA. RefSeq lists it as uncharacterized. The transcript has 3 exons. Lineage: Eukaryota; Metazoa; Chordata; Lepidosauria; Squamata; Viperidae. The record is from RefSeq and is a predicted model, not a curated record.